UCAUUUUGUUUCCUGGGCAGCAACCAAAGUGGUUCUAGGCAGCUCCAAUAUUGGUUUCCGGUGGCGGAGGGCUCCGGUAACUACGAAACCUGAAGCAGAGGCUGAACAGAGCAGCACAGAGUAGUAUAGAGUAAGAGCAGCAACAGUU
Molecule: non-coding RNA, 148 nt
Organism: Arachis ipaensis
Lineage: Eukaryota; Viridiplantae; Streptophyta; Magnoliopsida; Fabales; Fabaceae
Source: RefSeq, a predicted model, not a curated record